AAGUCGUAACAAGGUUUCCGUAGGUGAACUGCGGAAGGAUCUUACUGAGUCUUCUGAUCCGCAAGGAUCUGUCGCUCUACCCCCUGAUAUUUGCUUGGUGGGGUGACUCUGUAGUGGGGGCAAUCCCCCUGCGAGAAGCCGAGACCGCCCAUCUUUUCGGAGGUCGUGGCGCAAGCCUGGCCCCGGUGUGGAAAACUUAUGCGAUACUUUGAAGUCUGAGUGGGUACCAAUAGAAGCAAAACUUUCAACAACGGAUCUCUUGGCUCUG
RNAcentral lists this unclassified non-coding RNA (268 nucleotides) under fungal sp. RNAcentral's name for it is "partial internal transcribed spacer region". The record is from RNAcentral. Lineage: Eukaryota; Fungi.